GGGAACUGAAACAUCUAAGUACCCCGAGGAAAAGAAAUCAACCGAGAUUCCCCCAGUAGCGGCGAGCGAACGGGGAGGAGCCCAGAGCCUGAAUCAGCAUGUGUGUUAGUGGAAGCGUCUGGAAAGGCGCGCGAUACAGGGUGACAGCCCCGUACACAAAAGCGCAUGUGCUGUGAGCUCGAUGAGUAGGGCGGGACACGUGGUAUCCUGUCUGAAUAUGGGGGGACCAUCCUCCAAGGCUAAAUACUCCUGACUGACCGAUAGUGAACCAGUACCGUGAGGGAAAGGCGAAAAGAACCCCGGCGAGGGGAGUGAAAAAGAACCUGAAACCGUGUACGUACAAGCAGUGGGAGCCCCACCACUAAGCCAGUGGUGAACUCCACAUACGCAUCCUUUGCUGAGGAUACGGUUAACGGAGCGAAAGCGACGUUCAACCGCAAAACAAGCAGAGGGGGCUUAGUGGUGGGGUGACUGCGUACCUUUUGUAUAAUGGGUCAGCGACUUAUAUUCUGUAGCAAGGUUAACCGUAUAGGGGAGCCGGAGGGAAACCGAGUCUUAAUUGGGCGUUAAGUUGCAGGGUAUAGACCCGAAACCCGGUGAUCUAGCCAUGGGCAGGUUGAAGGUUGGGUAACACUAAC
This 638-nucleotide ribosomal RNA is filed under the name Salmonella enterica subsp. enterica serovar Goldcoast. RNAcentral describes it as "partial 23S ribosomal RNA". It matches the Rfam family "Bacterial large subunit ribosomal RNA", at positions 188 to 766 of the family's 2925-position model. Lineage: Bacteria; Pseudomonadati; Pseudomonadota; Gammaproteobacteria; Enterobacterales; Enterobacteriaceae. The record is from RNAcentral.